This 853-nucleotide ribosomal RNA is filed under the name Cadophora malorum. Its description in RNAcentral is "eukaryotic LSU rRNA". It matches the Rfam family "Eukaryotic large subunit ribosomal RNA", at positions 67 to 938 of the family's 3401-position model. The record is from RNAcentral. Lineage: Eukaryota; Fungi; Ascomycota; Leotiomycetes; Helotiales; Ploettnerulaceae.
AACAGGGAUUACCUCAGUAACGGCGAGUGAAGCGGUAACAGCUCAAAUUUGAAAGCUAGCUCUUUUAGGGUUCGCAUUGUAAUUUGUAGAAGAUGCUUCGGGUGUGGCCCCGGUCUAAGUUCCUUGGAACAGGACGUCAUAGAGGGUGAGAAUCCCGUAUGUGACUGGGUGCUUUCGCUCAUGUGAAGCUCUUUCGACGAGUCGAGUUGUUUGGGAAUGCAGCUCAAAAUGGGUGGUAAAUUUCAUCUAAAGCUAAAUAUUGGCCAGAGACCGAUAGCGCACAAGUAGAGUGAUCGAAAGAUGAAAAGCACUUUGGAAAGAGAGUUAAACAGUACGUGAAAUUGUUGAAAGGGAAGCGCUUGCAACCAGACUUGCGCGCUGAUGAUCAUCCGGGCUUCUGCCCGGUGCACUCGUCUGCGCUCAGGCCAGCAUCGGUUUCGGUGGUGGGAUAAAGGCCUUGGGAAUGUAGCUCCUCUCGGGGAGUGUUAUAGCCCUCGGUGCAAUGCCGCCUACCGGGACCGAGGACCGCGCUUCGGCUAGGAUGCUGGCGUAAUGGUUGUAAGCGACCCGUCUUGAAACACGGACCAAGGAGUCUAACAUCUAUGCGAGUGUUUGGGUGUCAAACCCAUACGCGUAAUGAAAGUGAACGGAGGUGAGAACCCUUAAGGGUGCAUCAUCGACCGAUCCUGAUGUCUUCGGAUGGAUUUGAGUAAGAGCAUAGCUGUUGGGACCCGAAAGAUGGUGAACUAUGCGUGAAUAGGGUGAAGCCAGAGGAAACUCUGGUGGAGGCUCGCAGCGGUUCUGACGUGCAAAUCGAUCGUCAAAUUUGCGUAUAGGGCGAAAGACUAAUCGA